AUGGCAGCUGGCCCCAAGGUCUCUCCAUGGAGAGAAGUCAGCAGCAAGGAGCAGGAAGGGGAGCCCGACAGUGCACUCCACUUGGCUGGAUUGAGCCGAGGAGCCAGAGACUUAAAGGAAGAAUCGAAACCCAGGGAUGAGAGGGCUGGAAGAGUGUACGUCCCAGGAGCCCCCUGGUCAGCAGAAUCAAGAAAGCCUUUGCAGAAGAGAGGCCAGCCCAACUGGAAGGGGAGGGAUGAAGAAGAGUUCGCCAGGCAGAUGCAAGGAGCAAGGGCAGGCAAUGCUAUCACGUAGAACAGCCAAUAUUCUGGGCCAUGAGAGUUUUCAAGUCCUUUUCGGCUCUGAGUCCUGGUUUUCUAGCUAAAUCCUGCUUGUCAGGCCCAGAUGGAGCCCAUGGGGGAGCCCACAGUGCUGCUCCUCCCUGGUCUCAGAGCUGAUCCUCAUAGCCCCUCUCCAGAACACAUAGCCCCUCUAGUGGGCUAGAGGCCAACCCAGAGCAUCCUGGCUGGGUUUCUCCGGCAAGGACAGGUAAGCCGGCCUGGUCCAAAUCCCAGCUCUCAGUUUACCAGCUGGACAACCAUGGGCAAGUAAUUCCACUUCUCAGAGCUUCAGUUUCCUUGUGUGUCGUUGUAGGGUAAGGACAGUUCCCGGAGGGCUGGCAGGAGAAUGAAUGAGUUACUUGAGGUAGAACUUAGAACAGGGACAGGGGGAGCAGUGCAACCUCCUCCUCUCCUCUCCCCUUCCCCUUUCUUCCCUCCUCCUCCUCUCCCUCUCCCUUCCCUCCUCCUCGAUCCCUCCCUCCCUUUCUCCUUCCCCUAGUACAGCUUGCACCUGUCUGGCUUUUCUUGCUGUCUCCUCCACUGUCCUGCUGAGGCUUGAUCAUUUCCUCCAGAGGCUUGGACCCAGAUCCCCAAGAGCCUUACUCUCUCCACAGUAAGGUCUCUGGUCAAAUGUCACUUCUCUGACACCCUCUCUAAGAUGUCAUCCCCUCUGCCCUGUCCCUCUCAUCACUCUCUAGCCACCGCUGCCCCCCGACAUUUGAGUUUUCUUUCUGGCACUCAGCACACCAUGUGACAUUAUAUUAUAUAUUUGUGUAGUGUCUGCUAGCCCUGGCUUCCUGCAAGCUCCAUGCUGUGCCCCCGGCACCUAGAGCAGUGCCCGGGACAGCGGACCCCCAGUAAGUAAGUGUGGAACAGAAUAUUUGUGGAAGAACUGAGCAUCAGUUAUAAUGGUUGUGUUUCCCCACUGCUUCCUGCCUUGAUCUACAAGCACACAAUCUGGGAGCUCGCACUGAGCACCCGGGCAUCUCACUUCCAGAUUCCUCUGUGUGUCUCCCUGUGUCUAGUGCAUAUCUGGUUGAACUGAUCCUCUCUUCCCAUUAAAAAGCUGGGUCCCAGCCGGGAGACCAGAGGGUCUUCUACUGGGGGCGGUGUGGGUACUGUGAACCUGGCAUUCUCUAUGCAUUUCACUUACCAACUUUCCAACAAAGGUUUUCUGAGUCCCACUUCACAGAUGGGAACACUGAGAGGCUACAGCAAGUCUCAGAGCAGUGGCAGCAGUGGGGCUUGAGGCCCAUGUCGACCUGAUUGGAAGGCCUCACUUGCCCCACAGUAGUACCCAGUGGUGCCUCCUAGGGAGUGUCUUGGUGUGGAUGGCAGGGAGGCUUGGAGAUGGGACAGGACCAGCCUUUGGUGGCUCUACUUGACAUCCUGGGCCCCUCUGAGCAACCAUCCUUCACCAUCUCCUGUGUUUAAGGAGAGGGGUGGCUCUGCUUUUGUGGCUCAUUUAAGUGCCUCAAAACUGAGGGUUGGCAACUCUUCACAAGUUGUGAGCCAGCCAGUGGGGCAUGAAGCACAUCAUGGGCUAGCCAUGUCAUUGGCGCCACAGGGCGAGUUGGGGCCCGGCUCCUUCUAAUGACAGCAGCUCCGUGUGUGCAUGGGCCCUUGUAAGAGAUCCCAUGUGCCCUCUGAGAACCCUGACCAGUCCCAAAGAAAGCAGGACUCAAGGGCCAGAAAUACUCAUCAACCUCCUGGUCAAGAAGUGGCAGGAGCAGGGCCCCAGAUCUGGGGCCAGGUGAGAAAUCCAAGUCCUCCAUGGCCCCGUUGGGAAGGUUGGUAACUUGCCCCCAUGACCACAGCAGGCUCCAGGGCCUGGACUCUCAACUAAAAUGUGCUGUAGCUUCUUCAUGCUGCACAAAUGUGUGGCCCAAUUCUAUUAGAGAACCUCAGAACGGGGAUCCCUGGGUGGUUCCGUGGUUUAGCGCCUGCCUUUGGCCCAGGGAGUGAUCUUGGAGUCCUGAUCUCAAGUCCCACAUCGGGAUCUCUGCAUGGAGCCUGCUUCUCCCUCUGCCUGUCUCUCUCUCUCUCUCUCUCUCUCUCUCAUAAAUAAAUAAAAUCUUUAAAAAGAGAGAACCUCA
Molecule: long non-coding RNA, 2416 nt
Organism: Vulpes vulpes (red fox)
Lineage: Eukaryota; Metazoa; Chordata; Mammalia; Carnivora; Canidae
Source: Ensembl